GACGAACGCUGGCGGCGUGCUUAACACAUGCAAGUCGAACGCAUUUUCCCUGCUUUUGUGGUGUUCUCGCGUAGCGAACGGGUUAGUAACCCGUGAGUAACCUGCCCUUUACUUUGGGCUACCUUCAGGAAACUGGCGCUAAUACCGGAUAUGAUCUCCUGCUGCAUGGUUUGGGUUGGAAAGUUUCGGUGGUUGGGGCUGGUCUCGCGGCUUAUCAGCUUGUUGGUGGGGUAGUGGCUUACCAAGGCUUUGCCGGGUAGCCGGACUGAGAGGGUGACCGGGCACAGAGGGAUUCGGGAAGGGCCCGGAGGCAUACGUGAGGCAGCGGUGGAAAACAGAGCGAGAUAGGCGGAAGGCGGAUGCAGCAACGUCGGGUUGGAGAACACUGUCGUCGGGGUGGAAACCGGUUGAGACUGGGAAGAAGCGUGAGUGACGGUAACGAGUAAAGAAGCAACGGCUAACUACGUG
Molecule: ribosomal RNA, 468 nt
Filed under: uncultured bacterium
Lineage: Bacteria
Description: partial 16S ribosomal RNA
Rfam family: Bacterial small subunit ribosomal RNA
Source: RNAcentral